Long non-coding RNA from Sebastes umbrosus (honeycomb rockfish), 1019 nucleotides. RefSeq lists it as uncharacterized. The transcript is spliced from 3 exons. The record is from RefSeq and is a predicted model, not a curated record. Lineage: Eukaryota; Metazoa; Chordata; Actinopteri; Perciformes; Sebastidae.
GAAUCACAACUGCAAGAUGCAGUUGCACAGGCAGCCAGCUUGAUCAGUCUGGCGGGUCACAAUGUUCACAUAACACUGGGAAACAAACAAGAGACUGCUUUGGACUUGGCUCACUGGUAUGUCCUCCAGCGGACCCGAGCAGCUUUUGAAAGGUUCAGAGAUGGCUUAACGUCUCUAGGUGUCCUAGAUGCUCUUCAGAGAUACCCUCUACAGUUGAAGUGCCUUUUCGUGAAGGCUGAAAAGGGUUUGACAGCGGCUGAUAUGGAGAAUCUCUUCCAGAUCAUUCACUCCGAAAGAGGGAGUAAUGCAUUCCAAGAAGAGUGCCGGAAUCAGGCUUUCUGGCAGGACUAUCUUCAGGAUGCUGAAUUCGAAGACGAUGUCUCUCUGGAGGAUAUUCUUAUUUUCUUCACUGGAUGUGACAGCAUUCCAGCUCUGGGUUUCUCUCCAAGGCCAAGCCUGGAGUUCAUCACCAACUCCCGAUUUCCAUUGGCCAAUACUUGCGAGAUAAUUCUUCGCAUACCAGUUCAUACCACAUACACUGCAUUCAAAUCUAAUAUGGAUUUCGGAAUACGCAAUGCCCCAGGAUUUGGAAGAGCGUAAGACGCAAUGUAGAGCUAGGGUUAUGUUGAGUUGUUUUUUGUUGUUGUUAUUGAUAGUGUUAUUUACUUUUGUUCUUCCAUGAGGCUAACACGCUAAAGUUGGGUUCAAUUUUGGCGAGGAAAAACUGGCAUGGCCAUUUGUCAAGGUGUCUCCUUGACCUCUGACCUCAAGAUAUGUGGCUGAAAAUGGGUUCUAUGGGUACCCACGAGUCUCCCCUUUACAGAUAUGCAGUUUUUUGAAUGCAGUAUACAUGUUAUUUUUGCCUAUUCUAAAAAUGUAAAACAUAUUAUACAUAACAUACUAUGUAAAACACAGUGUGAAAACAUUGAGUUCCAGUUUUGGCCCUCCAAGGGAAAAGUUUGGGCACCCUUGAUCUAAAGGUUUUGGUAAAGCCUUCUAAAAAUAAAGGGUUCUAUGUU